This 404-nucleotide ribosomal RNA is filed under the name Actinomycetes bacterium. Its description in RNAcentral is "Actinobacteria bacterium partial 16S ribosomal RNA". It matches the Rfam family "Bacterial small subunit ribosomal RNA", at positions 355 to 776 of the family's 1533-position model. The record is from RNAcentral. Lineage: Bacteria; Bacillati; Actinomycetota; Actinomycetes.
UGGGGAAUAUUGGACAAUGGGCGCAAGCCUGAUCCAGCCAUGCCGCGUGAGUGAUGAAGGCCCUAGGGUUGUAAAGCUCUUUCACCGGGGAAGAUAAUGACGGUAACCGGAGAAGAAGCCCCGGCUAACUUCGUGCCAGCAGCCGCGGUAAUACGAAGGGGGCUAGCGUUGUUCGGAUUUACUGGGCGUAAAGCGCACGUAGGCGGACUAUUAAGGUAGGGGUGAAAUCCCGGGGCUCAACCCCGGAACUGCCUUUGAUACUGGUAGUCUUGAGUUCGAGAGAGGUGGGGGGAAUUCCGAGUGUAGAGGUGAAUUUCGUGGAUAUUCGGAGGAACACCAGUGGCGAAGGCGGCUCACUGGCUCGAUACUGACGCUGGGGUGCGAAAGCGUGGGGAGCAAACAGG